Molecule: non-coding RNA, 30 nt
Filed under: Rattus norvegicus (Norway rat)
Lineage: Eukaryota; Metazoa; Chordata; Mammalia; Rodentia; Muridae
Source: RNAcentral
UGCACAGCUCAGAACAGCUCCCUACAUCUC